AUAUCAAUAAGCGGAGGAAAAGAAACUAACAAGGAUUCCCCUAGUAACUGCGAGUGAAGCGGGAAAAGCUCAAAUUUAAAAUCUGGCGGUCUUUGGCCGUCCGAGUUGUAGUCUGGAGAAGUGCUUUCCGCGCUGGACCGUGUAUAAGUCUCUUGGAACAGAGCGUCAUAGAGGGUGAGAAUCCCGUCUUUGACACGGACUACCAGUGCUUUGUGAUGCGCUCUCGAAGAGUCGAGUUGUUUGGGAAUGCAGCUCAAAAUGGGUGGUAAAUUCCAUCUAAAGCUAAAUAUUGGCGAGAGACCGAUAGCGAACAAGUACCGUGAGGGAAAGAUGAAAAGCACUUUGGAAAGAGAGUUAAACAGUACGUGAAAUUGCUGAAAGGGAAACGCUUGAAGUCAGUCGCGUCUGCCGGAACUCAGCCUUGCUUUUGCUUGGUGCAUUUUCUGGUAGACGGGCCAGCAUCGAUUUUGACCGUCGGAAAAGGGCUAGAGAAAUGUGGCACCUUCGGGUGUGUUAUAGUCUCUGGUCGCAUACGGCGGUUGGGAUCGAGGAACGCAGCGCGCCGCAAGGCAGGGGUUCGCCCACUUUCGCGCUUAGGAUGCUGGCGUAAUGGCUUUAAACGACCCGUCUUGAAACACGGACCAAGGAGUCUAACAUGCCUGCGAGUGUUUGGGUGGUAAACCCGAGCGCGUAAUGAAAGUGAAAGUUGAGACCUCUGUCGUGGAGGGCAUCGACGCCCGGACCUGACGUUCUCUGACGGAUCCGCGGUAGAGCAUGUAUGUUGGGACCCGAAAGAUGGUGAACUAUGCCUGAAUAGGGUGAAGCCAGAGGAAACUCUGGUGGAGGCUCGUAGCGAUUCUGACGUGCAAAUCGAUCGUCAAAUUUGGGUAUAGGGGCGAAAGACUAAUCGAACCAUCUAGUAGCUGGUUCCUGC
RNAcentral lists this ribosomal RNA (934 nucleotides) under Funalia aspera. RNAcentral describes it as "partial 28S ribosomal RNA". It matches the Rfam family "Eukaryotic large subunit ribosomal RNA", at positions 40 to 961 of the family's 3401-position model. Lineage: Eukaryota; Fungi; Basidiomycota; Agaricomycetes; Polyporales; Polyporaceae. The record is from RNAcentral.